This 253-nucleotide ribosomal RNA is filed under the name uncultured bacterium. Its description in RNAcentral is "partial 16S ribosomal RNA". It matches the Rfam family "Bacterial small subunit ribosomal RNA", at positions 524 to 776 of the family's 1533-position model. The record is from RNAcentral.
UACGUAGGUGACAAGCGUUGUCCGGAUUUACUGGGCGUAAAGAGCGCGCAGGCGGUCGAUCAAGUCGAGUGUGAAAGCCCCCGGCUCAACUGGGGAGGGUCAUUCGAUACUGAUUGACUCGAAGGCAGGAGAGGGUAGUGGAAUUCCCGGUGUAGUGGUGAAAUGCGUAGAUAUCGGGAGGAACACCAGUGGCGAAGGCGACUACCUGGCCUGUUCUUGACGCUGAGGCGCGAAAGCUAGGGGAGCAAACGGG